RNAcentral lists this ribosomal RNA (233 nucleotides) under Arabidopsis thaliana (thale cress). The record is from RNAcentral. Lineage: Eukaryota; Viridiplantae; Streptophyta; Magnoliopsida; Brassicales; Brassicaceae.
GGAUGUUUCGUAUAUUUCGAUGUAUCGAAGCUCUUAUAAACAAGAUAGGGUAUUCCUAUAUAGCUGGUGGGACCACGGUAAAUCGAUCAUAAAGUUUUCGAAAAAGAAUAGAUAUGAUUGCAUUGCAUGUAGUUACGGAUGCGAUCAUACCGCAGUUAAGCGUGCUUGGGCGAGAGUAGUACUAGGAUGGGUGACAUCCAAGAAAGUCCUCGUGUGUCAUCCCUCUUUUUUUU